CAUCCCUUGCGUGACUGGCGAUAAUACCCUCCGGGGUCAAGGUGGAGCGACCCACCGUGAAGCGCAAGGUGCCGUUUUGCCGUUCGCCUGGGCAGCCGAA
RNAcentral lists this non-coding RNA (100 nucleotides) under Trinickia caryophylli. RNAcentral describes it as "Paraburkholderia caryophylli ZTP sequence". It matches the Rfam family "ZMP/ZTP riboswitch aptamer (pfl RNA motif)". From Rfam's summary of the family: Previously known as pfl RNA. ZMP is also known as AICAR. Lineage: Bacteria; Pseudomonadati; Pseudomonadota; Betaproteobacteria; Burkholderiales; Burkholderiaceae. The record is from Rfam by way of RNAcentral.